This 253-nucleotide ribosomal RNA is filed under the name uncultured bacterium. RNAcentral's name for it is "partial 16S ribosomal RNA". It matches the Rfam family "Bacterial small subunit ribosomal RNA", at positions 524 to 776 of the family's 1533-position model. The record is from RNAcentral.
UACGUAGGGGGCAAGCGUUGUCCGGAUUUAUUGGGCGUAAAGAGCGUGUAGGCGGCUAGGUAGGUCCGUUGUGAAAACUCGAGGCUCAACCUCGAGACGCCGAUGGAAACCAUCUGGCUAGAGUCCGGAAGAGGAGAGUGGAAUUCCUGGUGUAGCGGUGAAAUGCGUAGAUAUCAGGAGGAACACCGGUGGUGUAGACGGCUCUCUGGACCGUAACUGACGCUGAGACACGAAAGCGUGGGGAGCAAACAGG